AGGAGAAAGAGAGGCGAAAUCUAAAAACCCUGAAGGACUGGUCUCUAAAUAUCUAAAGAAACCACAGGGAAUUCCUUUUAAGAUCAGCAGAAAGCAAGUCAUCUGCGUAGCUUUAUGACAUCAUGCUCUACAUUAUGGAAAACAUCUUAUCUGGAAAACUCAGAGUACCAAGCAGUCCAGGCAGUAGGUCCAGUGAACCCAUCAAGUGGCUCCCAAUAGCUGAAAGCUCUUUGAAUCCAUGAAGAAAAAUAACUUGCACAAUCCUGAUGGGAAACAAGAAGAGGCAUCCACUACACGUCCCAAUAUGGGAGCACCAUAAAGGAAAUGAAGAAAAGUCACUGUAGUAGAUCCAGGUUAUCUUUGUAAAGCCCAUUUGGGCAAGGCCCUUGCAGCUGGUAUUUGGUUUCUCCAAGGAAACUCCAAGUACAAAGCUUUGUACUUAAAGAGAUAUUUGACUUUAUGCUGCCUUCUAUGAAGCCACUCUUCAGUGUGCAGGAGGUACCAGUGAAGCAGAACCUGACCAGUUCCAGGGAGUCACAUCUGACAGAAGAUGAAGAGAUGUUUCAUUUUAAUUCAUUCUCUUUCCGGUAGCAUUUAUUGAUAUAACAACAUUAUUUUAUUACUAAGUCUCCCUUCUCUUUAUUUAGCAUUCAUUGAAUUCUAACUGUUUAAAAAUAUUUUCUAAAUGUUAGUAUUUUUUUUGCAUCAUCUGGGGUAGAUUAGAAUCAUAUCAAUCAUGUAGUGGCUAUAGUUUCACCGCCAAGUGUUCUUCUUUUCUUUAUUAUCCUAAUUAGCAUUUGGUCCUGCUUACUCUAUUUAAUUCUCCUAAAACUUCAGAUUAAGACCAAAUGUAGCUCAAGGCAUAGUAGUGUUUUGGGGCCCUGUCUAUCAAAGACAAUUGAGUUCCCUUAAAUGGCUUGUUCCAUCUCAGUAUAGCAAUACUUUUAAAGGGGACCCUAGUUUGCAUAUUCGACCACAUUUAUAUGAAACGUAUAUUGUCAUAGUAUUUUACAUUUCCAUAACUUUAAUAAUUGGUGUAUAUAACCACUUUCUAAAUGCUUUCCAGAUGUUGUGCUUAAUUUCCUCUGAUAUUGAUAAGCGCUGGGAAAGGUGGGUGUGCUGUCCCUGAUUGGAUUUUGGCACAACAACACCUUGACUCAUGACUGCAAUCCUUGAUAUGAUAUGCAGCAAAUGAUAUCCAUGAAAACUGAUAUUAAAACUCAACUGUUAAGGACAGGUUUGCUAAAUAGCAGAGGGAAUCCCACCAGCUCAAUAUUUUACAUUAGUAACAAAUUGACACAUUUAUCAAAGCAUUUACUGUUUUGAUCAGUGUGUAAAUCAAACUCCACUUUGUACUGUGGUCUGCUCCCUCUGAGCUCUAAUACCCCAAUGAAUUACAGAGCCCUGGAAAUUGGAGAGAACUGUGUACAAUUAAAGCAAUGCAAUUUAAUGGGGGUUUAACGAUUAGGUUGAAAUAAUUUUCCAUGUUACUCUGAUUUAGUAAAGUAGAAAAUGAUUAGUAGAUAUCUGCCGCUCGUUAUUUUUUUUUUAUACAAGCUGUAGCUGUCAUUACUGUUCCUAAAAGAAAUAAUGUGGCUCAGUAAACAACAAGUAUGAACUAUAAUAAAUAGACAUGUAAUUUCUUUAUGUUCAAUAAAAUAAUAUUUUCAUUUGAA
Molecule: long non-coding RNA, 1676 nt
Organism: Xenopus laevis (African clawed frog)
Lineage: Eukaryota; Metazoa; Chordata; Amphibia; Anura; Pipidae
Exons: 5
Source: RefSeq, a predicted model, not a curated record